RNAcentral lists this ribosomal RNA (796 nucleotides) under uncultured Pelagibacteraceae bacterium. RNAcentral describes it as "bacterial SSU rRNA". It matches the Rfam family "Bacterial small subunit ribosomal RNA", at positions 45 to 889 of the family's 1533-position model. Lineage: Bacteria; Pseudomonadati; Pseudomonadota; Alphaproteobacteria; Candidatus Pelagibacterales; Candidatus Pelagibacteraceae. The record is from RNAcentral.
CGCCUAACACAUGCAAGUCGAACGAAGUAGCAAUACUUAGUGGCAGACGGGUGAGUAACAUGUAGGUAUCUACCCUAUGGCCUGGAAUAACACGAGGAAACUUGUGCUAAUACCGGAUAAGUCUUUACGGAGAAAGCUUUAUGCACCAUUGGAUGAGCCUGCACUUGAUUAGUUUGUUGGUAGGGUAAUGGCCUACCAAGACUGUGAUCAAUAGCUGAUUUGAGAGGAUGAUCAGCCACAUUGGGACUGAGACACGGCCCAAACUCCUACGGGAGGCAGCAGUGGGGAAUCUUGCACAAUGGAGGAAACUCUGAUGCAGCGAUGCCGCGUGAGUGAAGAAGGCCCUUGGGUUGUAAAGCUCUUUCGUCGGGGAAGAAAAUGACUGUACCCGAAUAAGAAGGUCCGGCUAACUUCGUGCCAGCAGCCGCGGUAAUACGAAGGGACCUAGCGUAGUUCGGAAUUACUGGGCUUAAAGAGUUCGUAGGUGGUUGAAAAAGUUGGUGGUGAAAUCCCAGAGCUUAACUCUGGAACUGCCAUCAAAACUUUUCAGCUAGAGUAUGAUAGAGGAAAGCAGAAUUUCUAGUGUAGAGGUGAAAUUCGUAGAUAUUAGAAAGAAUACCAAUUGCGAAGGCAGCUUUCUGGAUCAUUACUGACACUGAGGAACGAAAGCAUGGGUAGCGAAGAGGAUUAGAUACCCUCGUAGUCCAUGCCGUAAACGAUGUGUGUUAGACGUUGGAAAUUUAUUUUCAGUGUCGCAGCGAAAGCGAUAAACACACCGCCUGGGGAGUACGACCGC